RNAcentral lists this ribosomal RNA (253 nucleotides) under uncultured bacterium. RNAcentral's name for it is "partial 16S ribosomal RNA". It matches the Rfam family "Bacterial small subunit ribosomal RNA", at positions 524 to 776 of the family's 1533-position model. The record is from RNAcentral.
UACAGAGGUCUCAAGCGUUGUCCGGAAUUAUUGGGCGUAAAGGGCUCGUAGGCGGUUCGUCACGUCGGGAGUGAAAACUCGGAGCUUAACUGAGGACGUGCGGAAGAAACUGCAAGGCUCGAGUCCGGGAGAGGGGGGUGGAAUUCCCAGUGUAGCGGUGAAAUGCGUAGAUAUUGGGAGGAACACCGGUGGCGAAGGCGGCCCCCUGGACCAGCACUGACGCUGAGGCACGAAAGCGUGGGGAGCAAACAGG